Molecule: ribosomal RNA, 254 nt
Filed under: uncultured bacterium
Lineage: Bacteria
Description: partial 16S ribosomal RNA
Rfam family: Bacterial small subunit ribosomal RNA
Source: RNAcentral
UACGUAGGGUGCGAGCGUUAAUCGGAAUUACUGGGCGUAAAGCGUGCGCAGGCGGUGAUGUAAGACCGAUGUGAAAUCCCCGGGCUUAACCUGGGAACUGCAUUGGUGACUGCAUCGCUCGAGUAUGGCAGAGGGGGGUAGAAUUCCACGUGUAGCAGUGAAAUGCGUAGAGAUGUGGAGGAAUACCGAUGGCGAAGGCAGCCCCCUGGGUCAAUACUGACGCUCAUGCACGGAAAGCGUGGGGAGCAAACAGG